CUUUUCAUGUGUUUAUUUCCCAACCUAUUAUUCUCUUUUGUGAACUAUCUUUUCAAGUCCUUUUCUCAUUUCUUAAUUGAGUUGUUCAUUUUCUUAUUGUUUGGUUUAAUAAUUCUUUAUAUAUUCUGGAUAGAAGUUCUUUGUUGAAUAUGUGAUUUGUAAAUAUUGUUUCCGGUUUGUGACUUGUUUUUUCAUUCUCUUACAGACUUUACUAAAGUCACUUAAUAGGCAAUAUGGUACUGGCAUGAAAAUAGUCAUAUAAACCAACAGAAUAGAAUAAAGAAUCUAGAAAUAAACUCUUGCAUUUUUGAUCAAAUGAUUUUUGACAAGGGUGCAAAGACCAUUCAAUGGGCAAAAGGACAGUCUUUUCAAUAAAAUUACUGUGAAAACUGGAUAUCCAAAUGGAAAGGAAUGAAGUGAGACUGCAUCACUUGACACCACAUACAAAAAUGAACUCAAAAUGGAAUGAAGACCUAAAUGUAAGAGCUAGAACUAUAAAACUCUUAGAAGAAAACACAGGGCAAAAGCUUCAUAACAUUUGAUUUGACCAUGAUUUCUUGGAUAUGACACCAAAGGCACAUACAACAAAAGAAAAAAAUAGGAAAAUUGGUCUUCAGGAAAAUUAAAAAUUGUACACAUCAACAAACAUUAUCAACAGAGUAAAAAGGCAAGCCAAAGAAUGGGAGAAAAUAUUUGCAAAUCAUAUAUCUGGAAAGGGAUUAAUAUCCAGAAUAUAUAAAGUAGUCCUAAAACUCAACAACCCAAAAUAAAUAACCCAAUUCAAAAAAAGGCAAAAGAGUUGAAUAUAUGUUUCUCCAAAGAAGCUAUCCAAAUGGCCAACAAGUACAUGAAAAGACACUCAACAUCAUUAAUCAUUAGGGAAAUGCAGAUCAAAACUACAAUGAGAAACCAGCCAAUACCCAUUAAAAUGGCUGCUAUCAAAAAAAAAAAAUAUCCCAGAAAAUAACAGGUGUUAUGAGGACGUGGAGUAACUGGAACCCUUGGGCACUGUUGGUAGACAUGUAAAAUGGUACAGUUGCUGUGGAAAACAGUGUGGAAGUUCCUCCAAAAAUUAACGCUAGAACUACCAUGUGAUUCAGCAAUUCAACUUCUAGGUAUAUACCCAAAAGAAUUGAAAGCAGGGUCUACAAGAGAUAUUUUUACACCCAUGUUCCUAACAGCAUUAUUCACAGUAGCUAAAACAUGAACACAACCCAAGUGUCCAUUGACAGAUAAAUGGGUAAGUAAAAUGUAGUAAAUACAUACAAUGGCAUAUUAUUCAGUCUUAAAAAGGAAGGAAACUUUGACAUAUGCUAUAACAUGGAUGGACCUUGAGGACAUUAUGCUACAUGAAAUAAGCCAGCCAAAAUAUGACAAAUACUAUAUGAUUUCACUUAUACAAGGUAGAGUAGUCAAAAUCAUAGAAACUAUCAUAGUGAUUACCAGAGGCUGAAGGGAGGAAGGAUGGGGAGUUAUUGUUUAAUCUGUAUAAAGUUUCAAUUUUAUAAAAUGAAGAGUUCUGGACAUGAGUGAUGGUGAUGAUUGUAUAACAUUAUGAAUAUGUUUAACACUACUGAACUAUACACUUAAAAAUGGUUAAGAUGGUAAAUUUUAUGUUAUGUGUGUUUUACCACAGGAAAAAGAAAACAAUAACUUGAAAACUAUAUGUGAUUAAAAAUUAACAAGUACUCUUUUAAAAUUUCUGCAAAUAAAAACUGAAACAGCUUCUUUGGAAAGGAAAUUGGCAUGAUCUAGGGAGGUUAAACGUGUUCAUAUCCUAUGGUCCCACAAUUCCACUUGUAGGUAUAUACACGGGAUGAAAUCUUGCAUUUAUGCAAUAAAAGGCAUACUCGAGAUUGUUUAAAAGAGUAGAGAUUAUGAUAAUAAGAAAGUAAAAAUAAUCCAAAUGUCCAUCAACAGUACAAUGGAUAAAUUGUGGUAUGCUAUUCUAUAAUGGAAUAUUACACAAAAGCGAUAAGGAACUAAAUUAUACCUAUAUAAAACAAAACCAAAGAAUUAAUAAUAAACUUGUUUAUUAAACUUCAUACGGAAAAACAAAUAUGCAAGAGUACCCAGAAAAACACUAAGAAAGAAAAACAAUGAGGAAGACUACUUCACCAGACACUGAAACGAAUUAAAGAUUCUAUAAGUAUGGGCUCAGCAUGCUUCUACUGCGCCACUGCACUCUCUGCUAAAGAUUCAGUAAUUAAAUCAUUAUGGUACUGCUGUAUAGCUAGACAGACCACCAAUGGAAUAAAAUAUAUAGCCCUGAAAUAGAUUCAAAUAAAUAUACAAAUCCAGUAUAUGAUAAAGGUGGCAUCUCAUAUCACUGGGACAAGACGGACAUUAUAAUAAAUGGUGCCAAGAUAAAUGUUUAGCCAUGUGGAAAAAGAUACUAGUAGAUCUGUAUCUAACACCACACACAAAAAUAAACUCCAAGUGGUUGAGGUAUCUACACGUAAAAAAUUAAGCCAUACAAGUACAGGAAUAAAACAUGGGUAAAUUACUCUUUAAAUUCAAGGUAGAUGAAGAUUUUCUAAUAUGACUCAUAAUAUAGAGGCAAUCAAAUAAAAGAUUGAUCACAUAAAAAUUGAAAUUUCUUGUGGCACAAAAUAUCACAACCAAAGUCAAAAGACAAUUGGAAAAACAGGAGAAAAUAUUUGGUAUGGACAAAGGGUUAAAUUCCUAAUAUAUACAGAAUUCUUAAUAAUUGAGGGACAAAGGAUCAAAAUCCUCAUAGAAAACUCUCAAAAAGAUGUAAAUAAACAAUUCACACAAAAAAAGAAAUUAAAUAGUCCUGAAACAUAUAGGAAAAUAUUCAAACUGAAUCAUAAGAAGAUAUACAAAUUAAAACAACACUAAAUGCAAUGUAAGAUCCUGGAUUGGAACCCAGAACAGAACAAGAGCACUGGUGGAAAAAAUGGUGACGUUCAAAAAGGUCUGUAGUUUAGUAAUUUUUCCAAUGUUGCUUUCCUGGUUUUGAUCAUUGAACUAUGCAAGAUGGGAACUUUAGGGGCAGCUGGGUGAAGAAUACGCUAUACAGGAACUCUCUGAACUAUUUUUGUAACAUUUCAGUAAGUCUUAAUUUCUAAAUAAAAAUUUUUUUAAAACGCUAUAUUUAGGAUCACAACAUUUUCGGUAGCACUAUUAAAAGUCAUGAGGGACUGAUAAGUAUAAAAUAUAAGCUAGUGGUAACAUAUGAGGGCGACAGAUGGGAAAUGGAUGGGAGAGGGACACUUGGGACUUUAAUGGCAAUUUUCAUAUUAAUGGGUGUGAAUAGAUGACCAUUCACUGUAACAUGAUUAUUUUAUACCUUUUAUAUAUUUGAUAAUUCUUUUGAAUCAAUGCAAUAUGUUUAAUGAACACAAAAUAUGAGAUUCUAGCAGAAAUGUAGAGUUCAUCUUAGAAACAGGCUUUUUGUAGCAAUGUGAAGUUGCAUCACAUUAAAUGAGAAUACUCCUAGAAAGGCCUUUUGAUGUUACAAUUUGAAGUGUUAGGUUUGCUUACUCCUCCAUCUGUAGAUCCCUAAUGUGAGCUGGCUUGCAUGUGAGGACAGCAAAAUCUUGGCAACAACGCAGUUUAGUUCUGAGUGCAGUAUCAAUGGAGAAAGGGGAACAGUUGGAGUAUUUGCCUUUGGAUACAACUUUAAGAAGAGCAAAUGGAAGAGAGUACUUACUGACACAUGCUGAGAAAAAUGCCCCUGCAGCGAGUCUCAAGACACCCAAUUAAGAUAAAAUUAAAUCAUGCAAACAUUGAUCCAGCUAAAUUUGCCAGGGAGCCCGCAGCCUAAAGGAAGCCUAAAGGAAGCUGGAAAUCAACACUGUUUCCAAGAGUUGGAGUAAACAACAAUGAAAGUCACCAAUAACAAUGACAAUGAAAUGUCGCUAUGCCUCAAAUCUACCAAUUUGUCAAAAUUUGAUUAAAAUGAAUUGGAAAACAAGUUCACUAAAGGAAGAUAUAUAGCCUAGAGAUGUGUGGGGACCAAGCAAGGGAUAUUUUCAUCCAAAGAAGCUAAUUAUAUGCACAGAGACCUCAGUUUCCCUUGAGAAUCAGUUGGCAGAAACUUUUCCUCUCUCAUGCCACCUGCAUCUUCUCUCCAUAACUUGCUGCUCACUUCUUCCCCCCAGCAUCCUCCCUCUUGGUCCUGGCUGUCCAUCCCUGUGGCCCCCAUGCUGACUUCAGAUUUUCUACUUCCUCUCCUCCUCACUCUUCGGGAAAGAUAAAGAUAAGGCUAAUUUCUCUCCAUUAGCUUUUCAAAUUCCUUCCUCACCUCUCUUCAGGCAGGACAAUAAGAUGGUUAAGUGCACAAGUUUGAACCCCAGCCUAUCUCCUUAACUGCCAUGAGAUCUACCUCACAGAAGUGUUAUAAAGAAUGAGUGAGUUUGUGCACGUAAAGCAUCAAAGGCCAGAAUAAGCCCUCAGUGAAUAGUGGUUAUUAUCGUUAUUAGGAACAAUUUAGUUUCACUGUGCUCAGCAAAUACAACAUCCCUGUGCCACCAGCGUACAAUCCCCUCACUAUAUGUAUUCAAGGUCCUACCCCUUUCAGCUACACUUAGGCCUGUGAGGAGGAGGGAAGAGGAAUGCUGUCACCUUCCAAGACUUUUAUCUGGAACAGCCUUUAUCUCUUUCACUGUGGGGAUUUUCCCCAGUCUCUUUUGUUCUCUGUUUCAGAGCUUAUUUUGCCUCCCUUUUGUGUUACAUUCCCUUCUAUAGGAGGGUAGAGUUGCCCUAUUUACAAGAGUAGCUAUCACCAUGGUAACUUGGUAUUUUGAUACAGGCAUGAAACAAUCCCGAGGGAAAAAUAGGUCCCUUAUUUUUCAACUUUGGCAUGUAGAUGUAUGAGAAUCAAAAUACUUGCCCAGCAUAAUAUAGCUGGUUCAAAUGUCAAAGCAAAGAAACAAGUUUUCUUGAUAUUUUAAAUAAGUAUUGAGCAACCACAGCAUGCUAUCAAUUGAGCAGAACAUUCUCACAAUUAAUUUCUGCCUCUUAGGCACGAAAGCUUGCAGGCAACAUGGCAUAUACUUCCGUGAACUCAUUCUCUGAAUGAAAAAAUUGGUACCCAUGGUCAGACAAAGAACUGUCAAGUUCACUCAAAUUGCAAAAGGAGUCGUGAAAGAAGUCAUUUGAAGUUUCUGGAAUAUUUUGGUUGUUUAUUGAAGGGGAACAAGACAGAAAAUUUUAAAAUCAGCGUCUUCUGAAUGGGUCAGAGGAACUUGCUUGCUGUCUAUAUCAUUUGUACAUUGCAUAUGGAAGAAGGAGCAGCUGGUUUUGAUUAUUGAAGGCCUACAGUGUUCCAGACUCCCUAAGGUGAGCUGCUAACAUAGAUAUGUGAACUGUCACUCUUGCUUUUGGCACUUUUCAUUUGGUGAGGAAACAAACAAUUACCAUACGAUACGAUGUUUCCGUAGAUAGCUACAAUAUGUUAUGAGAGAAGAGAAGGAAAGAAGGCCUGAUAGAGAUGAAUUUUGACCUGUAUUUCAAGGGCAGUCAACUGGUGAAAUCUGAGGGAAUAGGCUUUGCCUCAGUUAGAAAUAGGUGUCACUCCUUAUAGUAACUCUCCAGAAUAUGAACUUCUUUUAUUCUCUCUGCCAAACAAGGCAAGCAUAAUCUCUACCUUGGCAUAGUCCAAAUCGAGGUGUUCCUAAAACCAGGCUUGCUGACAGACCCCAAGUGAAUUCCCGAGAUGAACGAUUUUCAGUUUGCCAAAUGUGCCAUCUUUUUUCUUACUUUUGCCCAUUUUGUCCCAUUUGUCUGAAAUCUCCCUGCUGCACCAUGUCUCCUCUUCUAUCCACCCCACAUGUGUGCUUCCUCUUACCAGCUUCUAUUGUCCUUUGGGCCUUAACUCUGCAAUUUCUUCUUUGGGAUAACCUUUGCCGAUGCCCAGAGUGUUCUAGUCUUCCUAUUUGCUUUUGCGUUAUUCUCUACUUCCCUUUACAUUGGUGCUUAUAAAAGUGUUCUGUCAUUGCCUAUUUUCUGCUCUGACUCAUUCAAUUCCACUUGCUCCUUUCACUCUCUUCACUAGGAAGCAAUUGUUGUUGUUCCCUUUUGUAUUCUGAGAGCCUAACUUAAUUUGUAUUAAAUAGAUGUACAAAUGCAUAAAAGAAGACAUUGUUUAUAAUAACUGCCCAACAAUAGAAAGAGCUACCCCAUUUCACAAUGAUGUUUAAUUGGAUUUGUUAUAGAAAGUCUUCUUGUGAGGUAUUUUAAUGUUUUG
RNAcentral lists this long non-coding RNA (6214 nucleotides) under Equus caballus (horse). RNAcentral's name for it is "lncRNA (ENSECAG00000044405.1)". The record is from RNAcentral. Lineage: Eukaryota; Metazoa; Chordata; Mammalia; Perissodactyla; Equidae.